This 202-nucleotide long non-coding RNA is filed under the name Elaeis guineensis (African oil palm). RNAcentral's name for it is "long non-coding RNA (EGUI_LNC077326)". Lineage: Eukaryota; Viridiplantae; Streptophyta; Magnoliopsida; Arecales; Arecaceae. The record is from RNAcentral.
GCAUUCAAAAAAUAAUUUUGGGCCAAGCAUGCCUUCGUAAAUCCUUAACGUAGUUGCUCUUCGGUGCUUUAACGCGUUCCAUGUUUUCGCCCAAUCAAUUGCUAGCUUCCGUGUAUGUGGGAACGCGAUGGCAGGCACGCUUCCAUAGUGCAUCUCUCUAUGCGUGCAUGCUGAAUUAAUUCUCUCCUUAUCCUGAAGACGA